GUAUGUGAGGGCAAUCUGGCUGUGACAUCUGUCACCCCAUCGAUCGCCAUGGUUGCUUCAAAUGAUCUGGCUGGCUAGGCAGAUGUCCCUUCCUCCCUCACCACUCCAUGUGUGUCCCUCCCGAAGCUGCGUGCUCGGUUGAAGAGGACGGCCUUCCCUGAAAAGAGAAAAGAGACGGACUGGUCUUCAGUGGAGGGUAUACGAGUAGCUGCCUUCUCUGCUAGAACCUCCAUACAAGCUCUCAAGGUCCAUGGAUAAGAAUAUAGAAUUAAAAUCAGAUUACAAGAUUUUCAGAGUUUAGUGAAAAAAAUGA
RNAcentral lists this small nuclear RNA (313 nucleotides) under Sorex araneus (European shrew). Its description in RNAcentral is "7SK RNA (ENSSARG00000018166.1)". It matches the Rfam family "7SK RNA". From Rfam's summary of the family: 7SK was discovered as an abundant small nuclear RNA in the mid-70s but a possible function has only recently been suggested. Two independent studies have found that 7SK RNA binds the CDK9/cyclin T complex (known as elongation factor P-TEFb). Lineage: Eukaryota; Metazoa; Chordata; Mammalia; Eulipotyphla; Soricidae. The record is from RNAcentral.